This 75-nucleotide transfer RNA is filed under the name Cordylochernes scorpioides. RNAcentral describes it as "tRNA-Thr". Lineage: Eukaryota; Metazoa; Arthropoda; Arachnida; Pseudoscorpiones; Chernetidae. The record is from RNAcentral.
UGUCGAGGGAUGGGAAUCGAACACACAGUGUUCCGCUUACCGAGCAGAUGCCAUGUCCACUAGGCUACCCUGGAC